This is a long non-coding RNA of Suricata suricatta (meerkat), 991 nucleotides long. RefSeq lists it as uncharacterized. The record is from RefSeq and is a predicted model, not a curated record. The transcript has 7 exons. NCBI's taxonomy places the organism in Eukaryota, Metazoa, Chordata, Mammalia, Carnivora, Herpestidae.
AUGCUAAAGACUUGCUGGCUCUCUUGCUGGCUUUGGAGGAGGAGUUUUGUGAAAGGGCCACAUGGUAAGGGACAGUGGAGAUCUCUUGGAGCUAAGAGCAGCCCUGGCAAAUAGCCAGUGGGCAGCAAAGAAGGGCCUCAGUCCUCCAAGCACAAAGAGCUGAAUUGUGCCAAUAACCUGAGUGGGUUUGACAGUGGACCCAUCCCUAGUCAAGCCUCCUGAUGAGAACUCAGCUCUUGCUGACACCUUGAUUGUAACUUUCCAGAGAACCCAGCAAAGAAAGUCAAGCCCAGACUCCUGAGCCACAGAACUUGUGAGAUAAUGUCACUUCCAAGAAAAACUAUGCAGGAUUUCCAAGUAAUGAAGAACCAAACUAGGAUUUUAACAGAGCCUUCUGAGUAAUUACUAAGUGCCUAGGUAACACUUGGUUUGCAUUAGCUCAGGAUACUGAGAGCUCUUUAAGGACAAGAAUUUAUCCUUUGAUCUGCAUUUGCCUGGCACCUAACACAAUGUCUGAUAUUUGGGUCUGUGUAGACUUUGGCUGCCAAAGAACCCGGCUGAACUUGGCUUCCCUGGGAGGGGCUCUAUCCCUGAAGACAGGCGAAGCUCAGAGCCAACCAGGAGCCCUGUCUCCUAGCUGCACCGCAGAGGGGCUCCUACAAGGACAGUUGCUGAUGGCAAAUUCUCCAACUGGCAUAAUGAAUUCCAUUUAAUUGAACUCCACCAGGAGAUAAGGAAUAUAGCUGUGGGAAUUGAUAACCUUGUCUUCGGACUCAGAAAGGUGGGCCAUAUCCAAUAACUGAUCGAUGAGGAAGUAUAUGGGCCUGUCCAUAUCGACCCAGCUUGAGAGAAUUCCUACAGGUCCCUCUGGAAUCCAAAAGGAUGUUUUUGGGCGUCCAUUGAAACUCUCCCCAAUUUGCCUUCUCCUCCUCCCUCAUAAGUAUCGAUCCCAAAGGUACACCUUAAUAAACAUCCUGAUCAUUAAUUUCCA